CGGGGUGAGUAACGCGUGGGCAACCUGCCUUAUACAGGGGGAUAACAGCUGGAAACAGCUGCUAAUACCGCAUAAGCGUACAGCGGCGCAUGACGCAGUGUGAAAAACUGAGGUGGUAUAAGAUGGGCCCGCGUCUGAUUAGCUGGUUGGGAGGGUAACGGCCUACCAAGGCGACGAUCAGUAGCCGGCCUGAGAGGGCGGACGGCCACAUUGGGACUGAGACACGGCCCAGACUCCUACGGAAGGCAGCAG
This 252-nucleotide ribosomal RNA is filed under the name uncultured bacterium. RNAcentral's name for it is "partial 16S ribosomal RNA". It matches the Rfam family "Bacterial small subunit ribosomal RNA", at positions 100 to 354 of the family's 1533-position model. The record is from RNAcentral.